UAAUGACUAGCUCUUUUCAAUGUUAAAG
This 28-nucleotide non-coding RNA is filed under the name Cricetulus griseus (Chinese hamster). Lineage: Eukaryota; Metazoa; Chordata; Mammalia; Rodentia; Cricetidae. The record is from RNAcentral.